UUGGUGGGGUAGUGGCCUACCAAGGCGACGACGGGUAGCCGGCCUGAGAGGGCGACCGGCCACACUGGGACUGAGACACGGCCCAGACUCCUACGGGAGGCAGCAGUGGGGAAUAUUGCGCAAUGGGCGAAAGCCUGACGCAGCGACGCCGCGUGAGGGAUGACGGCCUUCGGGUUGUAAACCUCUUUCAGCAGGGACGAAGCGCGAGUGACGGUACCUGCAGAAGAAGCACCGGCUAACUACGUGCCAGCAGCCGCGGUAAUACGUAGGGUGCGAGCGUUGUCCGGAAUUAUUGGGCGUAAAGAGCUCGUAGGCGGUUUGUCGCGUCGACUGUGAAAACCUACAGCUUAACUGUGGGCUUGCAGUCGAUACGGGCAGACUUGAGUUCGGUAGGGGAGACUGGAAUUCCUGGUGUAGCGGUGAAAUGCGCAGAUAUCAGGAGGAACACCGGUGGCGAAGGCGGGUCUCUGGGCCGAUACUGACGCUGAGGAGCGAAAGCGUGGGGAGCGAACAGGAUUAGAUACCCUGGUAGUCCACGCCGUAAACGGUGGGAACUAGGUGUGGGGGGCUUCCACGUCCUCCGUGCCGUAGCUAACGCAUUAAGUUCCCCGCCUGGGGAGUACGG
This 625-nucleotide ribosomal RNA is filed under the name uncultured bacterium. RNAcentral's name for it is "bacterial SSU rRNA". It matches the Rfam family "Bacterial small subunit ribosomal RNA", at positions 249 to 885 of the family's 1533-position model. The record is from RNAcentral.